GCUGGGGGCAGCGGCGCACACCUAUGGUUCUAGCUACUUGGGAGGCUGAGGCAGGAGGAUUACUUAAGUCCAGAAGUUCAAGGUAGCCUAGGCAACAUGGCAAGACCCUGUAUCAA
Molecule: small RNA, 116 nt
Filed under: Marmota monax (woodchuck)
Lineage: Eukaryota; Metazoa; Chordata; Mammalia; Rodentia; Sciuridae
Source: RNAcentral